CCUACGGGAGGCAGCAGUGAGGAAUAUUGGGCAAUGGAGGCAACUCUGACCCAGCCAUGCCGCGUGAGUGAAGAAUGUCUUCUGAUUGGAAAACUCUUUCUGUUUUGACAUUGAUUACUCUAGCAUCGAAAUAAGCCCCGGCUAACUUCGUUCCAGCAGCCGCGGUAAUACGCAGGGGGCAAGCGUUGUUCGGAAUUACUGGGCGUAAAGGGAGUGUAGGCGGUUUAGUAAGAUAGUGGUGAAAUCCCAGGGCUUAACUUUGGAAUUGCCAUUAUAACUAUUAGACUAGAAUUACAGAGAGGUUAGUGGAAUACGCAGUGUAGAGGUGAAAUUCGUAGAUAUUGGGUAGAACACCAGUGGCGAAGGCGACUAUCUGGACGUAAAUUGACGCUGAGGCUCGAAAGCAUGGGGAUCAAACAGGAUUAGAUACCCCAGUAGUC
RNAcentral lists this ribosomal RNA (440 nucleotides) under uncultured bacterium. RNAcentral describes it as "partial 16S ribosomal RNA". It matches the Rfam family "Bacterial small subunit ribosomal RNA", at positions 338 to 795 of the family's 1533-position model. The record is from RNAcentral.